This 421-nucleotide ribosomal RNA is filed under the name Fusobacteriota bacterium. Its description in RNAcentral is "Fusobacteria bacterium partial 16S ribosomal RNA". It matches the Rfam family "Bacterial small subunit ribosomal RNA", at positions 355 to 776 of the family's 1533-position model. The record is from RNAcentral. Lineage: Bacteria; Fusobacteriati; Fusobacteriota.
UGGGGAAUAUUGCACAAUGGACGGAAGUUUGAUGCAGCGACGCCGCGUGGAGGGUGUAGGCCUUCGGGUUGUGAACUCCUUUUUCUCGCGAAAAAGGCACAGUUUUGGCUGUGUUGAUGGUAGUGGGGGAAGAAGCGCCGGCUAACUACGUGCCAGCAGCCGCGGUAAUACGUAGGGCGCGAGCGUUGUCCGGAUUGAUUGGGCGUAAAGAGCUCGUAGGUGGUUCGUCGCGUCUGUCGUGAAAGCCAGCAGCUUAACUGUUGGUCUGCGGUGGGUACGGGCGGGCUUGAGUGCGGUAGGGGUGACUGGAAGUCCUGGUGUAGCGGUGGAAUGCGCAGAUAUCAGGAGGAACACCGAUGGCGAAGGCAGGUCACUGGGCCGUUACUGACACUGAGGAGCGAAAGCGUGGGGAGCGAACAGG